RNAcentral lists this ribosomal RNA (253 nucleotides) under uncultured bacterium. RNAcentral's name for it is "partial 16S ribosomal RNA". It matches the Rfam family "Bacterial small subunit ribosomal RNA", at positions 524 to 776 of the family's 1533-position model. The record is from RNAcentral.
UACGAAGGGGGCUAGCGUUGCUCGGAAUCACUGGGCGUAAAGGGUGCGUAGGCGGGUCUUUAAGUCAGGGGUGAAAUCCUGGAGCUCAACUCCAGAACUGCCUUCGAUACUGAGAGUCUCGAGUCCGAGAGAGGUGAGUGGAACUGCGAGUGUAGAGGUGAAAUUCGUAGAUAUUCGCAAGAACACCGGUGGCGAAAGCGGCGCGCUGGGUCUCUUCUGACGCUGAGGCGCGAAAGCCAGGGGAGCGAACGGG